RNAcentral lists this long non-coding RNA (458 nucleotides) under Homo sapiens (human). RNAcentral describes it as "HSALNT0249941". Lineage: Eukaryota; Metazoa; Chordata; Mammalia; Primates; Hominidae. The record is from RNAcentral.
GAGGAACUGCACGUGGUGGAACUAACCUGCAGUUUCAAUUGGACUGGGAGAGAUAAAAGAGGAAGCAGGAAACGAAUGCAGAGGGCCAUAGCAGGGGUGCAGGCAAGAGAAGAGGGUGGCUGUGGUGGUGCAGAGAAGCGGGCAGUCAUGAUUUACUUCUGAUGAAGAGCCAGCAGGACCUGAGGACAGACCAGCUGCAAGCCGUGGGAAGGAAGAAGCAGCACUGUAACAUGUCCAUAAUGGCCCCAACGCCCAAGCUGGAAGGUUGUGGGUUUACAGGAAUGAGGGCAAGCAACACCUGGCCCGCCCAGGGCGGAAAACCGCUUAAAGGAAUUCUUAAGACACAAACAAAAGCAUGAGCGAUCUGUGUCUUAAGGGCAUGUUCCUGCUGCAAUUAAUUCAGCCCAUCCCUUCCUUUCCCAUAGGGGACUUUUAGUUAAUUUAAUAUCUAUAGAAAC